Molecule: ribosomal RNA, 449 nt
Filed under: uncultured bacterium
Lineage: Bacteria
Description: partial 16S ribosomal RNA
Rfam family: Bacterial small subunit ribosomal RNA
Source: RNAcentral
AACGAACGCUGGCGGCAUGCCUAACACAUGCAAGUCGAACGAGAUCUUCGGGUCUAGUGGCGCACGGGUGCGUAACGCGUGGGAAUCUGCCCUUUGGUUCGGAAUAACAGUUGGAAACGACUGCUAAUACCGGAUGAUGACGAAAGUCCAAAGAUUUAUCGCCAGAGGAUGAGCCCGCGUAGGAUUAGCUGGUUGGUGUGGUAAAGGCGCACCAAGGCGACGAUCCUUCGCCGGUCUGAGAGGAUGAUCAGCCACACUGGGACUGAGACACGGCCCAGACUCCUACGGGAGGCAGCAGUGGGGAAUAUUGGACAAUGGGCGAAAGCCUGAUCCAGCAAUGCCGCGUGAGUGAUGAAGGCCUUAGGGUUGUAAAGCUCUUUUACCCGGGAUGAUAAUGACAGUACCGGGAGAAUAAGCUCCGGCUAACUCCGUGCCAGCCGCCGCCGUAA